UGCCGGGAUUUAAAAUACAAUCAUUAAAAGUCUUGGUUUUUAAUCAUAUUUUAACGUAAUCGUAAGCGCGCCGAUGACUUAUGCUUUAUCUAAUAACCAUCCGACAAUAAGAAGAUAAAACGCACAGACGUUCAAUUGUACUCAUUCGUGAGAUAAAUUAUCUAUGUUAAUCGUAUAUAUUCGAAUUAUUUUUGUAGACAACACAAAAAGUUAUAAAUUUAUUUUUAAUAAAUGCAUUUUCGGACUGAUAAGGUGAACAAAUUAAAGUACAAUAAUCUGUAAAGACAAUAUGUUGGUGUACUCUUAUUGCCCUUUUACUAUCUCUGCUAUGACUAGGUUUAUACGAUGUGUGUAUUCACGGUUUUGUGGCAAUACUCGUAGAUGGCUUGUUGAAAGGUAAAUUGUUAUUUGCACUUCGGUAUUUAACCACGCCUCUAGGGCACACCUUGCCAGGUGUGACUGUCUAUUCGGAUCAGUGGGAGCAUUUAAUACACACAUUAAAAAUACAAAUUCAAGUUGGUGAUUUGGGAAUUAUUUAAUUAUAUUUGGUGCUAUUAUUUAUUUGAAUUCAAAUAAGUUAAUUUACUUAGAAAUACACAAUUUUCGGUUAAAGACGGG
This 618-nucleotide long non-coding RNA is filed under the name Mytilus galloprovincialis (Mediterranean mussel). The record is from RNAcentral. Lineage: Eukaryota; Metazoa; Mollusca; Bivalvia; Mytilida; Mytilidae.